AGCCCAUGGAAAGGGCAGAGCCUUAAAAAGUCCUUAAAACGCUCUUAUGCGUCAAACAAAGAUUCUCCAUCUUCUUGCCUAAAGUUGUUGAUCUUAUUUCUAACU
Molecule: small nucleolar RNA, 105 nt
Organism: Lathyrus oleraceus (garden pea)
Lineage: Eukaryota; Viridiplantae; Streptophyta; Magnoliopsida; Fabales; Fabaceae
Source: RefSeq, a predicted model, not a curated record